UAAUUAAGUGUUCCUCCCUAGAGCCCUGCA
This 30-nucleotide non-coding RNA is filed under the name Mus musculus (house mouse). The record is from RNAcentral. Lineage: Eukaryota; Metazoa; Chordata; Mammalia; Rodentia; Muridae.